Molecule: long non-coding RNA, 702 nt
Organism: Salvia splendens (bonfire salvia)
Lineage: Eukaryota; Viridiplantae; Streptophyta; Magnoliopsida; Lamiales; Lamiaceae
Exons: 2
Source: RefSeq, a predicted model, not a curated record
CAAUGCAACACUUGACAUAUUAAAAUGGGGAUAACAAGUGCAGGGGUUGUGUGUUACCUAAAAUAAUUGAAAUUAGGUUAGAAGAACAUGAAGCUGUCUGCUUAUAAUAUGCUUGGUGAGUCAUUAGUCACUUCAAGAAGCAUUAGCAUGUAGAGCCAAUUGUUUUUCCAUCACUAAUGUAGUGGAGCUGAACAGACAUCCUAAAGGCGACAAAACAAAUCCCAGAACAGUAUUAUAAAUGGCACCAUGUCAUGCAAAAGUCCUACAGCAAACAUGCCCAUUUCUCAUUUCUUUGCCCAAUUUCCUCUCAUCCACAAUUGCUAAAAUUAAGUCAUUUGCACAAUGAGUUUACAAACUCAGAAUCAUCAGUUGGGCAACUAAAGCAACAAAAGUUUUCAGUUUAUCCACAAGGCAUCUACCCAGAAGCACAAGUAGCAUUAGACUCACAAAGAAACUAUUAGCGAUCCUGACAAGAACGGCAGAGAGUACCAUGGGAUAGCUCACAGAAAGCUCGCACAUUAUCAGCCAGACGAGACGUCAACCGUGUUCCUGCCACUGUCCUAUGCAGUGACAAUAGUGAUUGUGCGCAUCCCAGCUCCCCCAAUGUACUGCAUCAAAUAAUCACCCUAAAAACAUCAGCAAUAGAGUAAACAAGUUGAUAAAUUCCCCACAAGCAGUUAAACUAGAAUAAUCAUAUCUCAA